UACGAAGGGUGCAAACGUUGCUCGGAAUCAUUGGGCGUAAAGCGCACGUAGGCGGCCCUGUAAGUCGGAUGUGAAAUCCCUCGGCUCAACUGAGGACGUGCAUCCGAAACUGUAGAGCUCGAGUAUGGAAGAGGGUCGCGGAAUUCCCGGUGUAGAGGUGAAAUUCGUAGAUAUCGGGAGGAACACCAGUGGCGAAGGCGGCGACCUGGGCCAAUACUGACGCUGAGGUGCGAAAGCGUGGGGAGCAAACAGG
RNAcentral lists this ribosomal RNA (253 nucleotides) under uncultured bacterium. RNAcentral describes it as "partial 16S ribosomal RNA". It matches the Rfam family "Bacterial small subunit ribosomal RNA", at positions 524 to 776 of the family's 1533-position model. The record is from RNAcentral.